Molecule: ribosomal RNA, 497 nt
Filed under: uncultured bacterium
Lineage: Bacteria
Description: partial 16S ribosomal RNA
Rfam family: Bacterial small subunit ribosomal RNA
Source: RNAcentral
GACGAACGCUGGCGGCGUGCCUAAUACAUGCAAGUAGAACGCUGAAGCUUGGUGCUUGCACCGAGCGGAUGAGUUGCGAACGGGUGAGUAACGCGUAGGUAACCUGCCUGGUAGCGGGGGAUAACUAUUGGAAACGAUAGCUAAUACCGCAUAAGAGUAGAUGUUGCAUGACAUUUGCUUAAAAGGUGCAAUUGCAUCACUACCAGAUGGACCUGCGUUGUAUUAGCUAGUUGGUGAGGUAACGGCUUACCAAGGCAACGAUACAUAGCCGACAUGAGAGGGUGGUCGGCCAGCCUGGGACUGAGACCCGCCCCAGAGUCCUACGGGAGGCAGCAGUACGGACUCUUAGGCGAUGGACGGGAGUCUGACCGAGCGACGCGGCGGGAGUGAAGAAGGUUUUCGGAUGGGAAGGCUAUGUCGUAAGAGAAGAACGAGUGUGAGAGUGGAAAGUACACUCAGUGACGGUAUCUUACCAGAAAGGCACGGCUAACUCCGUG